Molecule: ribosomal RNA, 468 nt
Filed under: uncultured bacterium
Lineage: Bacteria
Description: partial 16S ribosomal RNA
Rfam family: Bacterial small subunit ribosomal RNA
Source: RNAcentral
GACGAACGCUGGCGGCGUGCUUAACACAUGCAAGUCGAACGGACAGGCCCUGCUUUUGUUGCGUUCUCGAGUGGCGAACACGUGAGUAACACGUGAGUAACCUCCCCUUGUCUUUCGGGUAACUUCAGGAAACUCCGGCUCAUACCGCAUAGGAGCUCCUGCUGCGUGGUGGGGGUUGGAAAGUUUCGGCGGUUGUGGCUGGACUCGCGGCUUAUCCGCUUGUUGGUGGGGUAGUGGCUUACCAAGGCUUUGACGGGUAGCCGGCCUGAGAGGGUGACCGGCCACAUUGGGACUGAGAUACGGCCCAGACGCGUACGUGAGGCAGAAGGGGGGAAUAUGGCAGAAUGGGCGGAAGCGUGAUGCAGCAACGCCGCGUGCGGGAUGACGGCCUUCGGGGUGUAAACCGCUUUCUCCUGUGACGAAGCGUGAGUGACGGUAAUGGGUAAAGAAGCACCGGCUAACUACGUG